GGCAGCCGCGGUCCAGCGACAGGGGUGAGACGAAGGGAGGUAGCGCUGUGCGGAAUCACAGGGCGUAAAGCGCACGUAGGCGGAUGCGUCAGUCAGGGGUGAAAGCCCGGGGCUCAACGUCGGAACUGCCUUUGGUACAGCACGUCUGGAGUCCGGAAGGGGUGGGUGGAAUUCCUAGUGUAGGGGUGAAAUUCGUAGAUAGUAGGAAGAGCACCGGUGGCGAAGGCGGCCCACUGGUCCGGUACUGACGCUGAGGUGCGAAAGCGUGGGGAGCAAACAGGAUUAGAUACCCGGGUAGUC
RNAcentral lists this ribosomal RNA (300 nucleotides) under uncultured Lactobacillus sp. Its description in RNAcentral is "bacterial SSU rRNA". It matches the Rfam family "Bacterial small subunit ribosomal RNA", at positions 496 to 795 of the family's 1533-position model. The record is from RNAcentral. Lineage: Bacteria; Bacillati; Bacillota; Bacilli; Lactobacillales; Lactobacillaceae.